GGGGGAGGGAGCUGUGAACCAUUGAGAGCAUCCUACGGAAAAACAACAACAGCUGAAGGAGAAGGACAGCCACACUCCAGGGAAUAGAAUGGCUGUACUGAGAAAAGCAGCAGUCUGUGAACAAAUGCUGCUGUUGAUCACUACUGAACAAAGGAAGGAGUCAGGACCAAGUGGAGCAGUAUGGGAGACCAGCUAGGGUGAUCAACAAGCCAAAG
Long non-coding RNA from Xenopus laevis (African clawed frog), 215 nucleotides. RefSeq lists it as uncharacterized. Lineage: Eukaryota; Metazoa; Chordata; Amphibia; Anura; Pipidae. The transcript is spliced from 2 exons. The record is from RefSeq and is a predicted model, not a curated record.